Long non-coding RNA from Musca domestica (house fly), 280 nucleotides. RefSeq lists it as uncharacterized. Lineage: Eukaryota; Metazoa; Arthropoda; Insecta; Diptera; Muscidae. The transcript has 2 exons. The record is from RefSeq and is a predicted model, not a curated record.
UUUGUAGGCAAUCUCCCUUCGACAUCAUUAACUUGAAACCAGUUCUCAUCCGGCAAUGGCAUUCCAUGGAACAGACAUUUUCCCAUUAACUUUUCCACACAAAUUAAGUGUUGUCGAUUUGUUGAACUGCAGAAAUAAGUGAUUAACAUGGAGAAGGAAACAUUUACAAUAUGGAAUAAAACUGGACUACUUACUCCUACAUUUUUAAACACUUUAUUAUUGAACUUUUUGUUAUAUUCAAGUUGUAAUAACGUUUAAAAUAAAUAAAUAAAAUUGUAUA